This 473-nucleotide ribosomal RNA is filed under the name uncultured bacterium. Its description in RNAcentral is "SSU rRNA". It matches the Rfam family "Bacterial small subunit ribosomal RNA", at positions 26 to 518 of the family's 1533-position model. The record is from RNAcentral.
AGGAUCAACGCUGGCGGCGUGCAUGAGACAUGCAAGUCGAACGGACGAUCAAAGCUUGCUUUGUUCGUUAGUGGCGGACGGCUGAGUAACGCGUGGGUGACCUGCCCCGAAGUGGGGAAUAACUGCCCGAAAGGGUGGCUAAUACCGCAUGUGGUGAUGUGUUCAAUCGCAUCACCAAAGCCGCAAGGCGCUUCGGGAGGGGCCUGCGUCCGAUUAGCUCGUUGGUGAGGUAACGGCUUACCAAGGCGACGAUCGGUAGGUGGUCUGAGAGGAUGAUCACCCAGACUGGGACUGAGACACGGCCCAGACUCCUACGGGAGGCAGCAGUCGGGAAUUUUGCGCAAUGGACGAAAGUCUGACGCAGCAACGCCGCGUGAGGGAUGAAGGCCUUCGGGUUGUAAACCUCUUUUCUUAGGGACGAUAAUGACGGUACCUGAGGAAUAAGCCACGGCUAACUACGUGCCAGCAGCCGC